This 835-nucleotide ribosomal RNA is filed under the name uncultured bacterium. Its description in RNAcentral is "bacterial SSU rRNA". It matches the Rfam family "Bacterial small subunit ribosomal RNA", at positions 70 to 923 of the family's 1533-position model. The record is from RNAcentral.
GCUUGCUAUAAUUGUCAGCUAAGUGGCGCACGGUGUGAGUAAUAUAUAGAUAACCUGCCCUCAAGAAAGGAAUAACAGUUGGAAACGACUGCUAAUGCCCUAUAUGCCUUUAAUACAUAAGUAUGCAAGGGAAACGCUUUAGUGCUUGAGGAUGGGUCUGUAUGGUAUCAGCUUGUUGGUGAGGUAAUGGCUCACCAAGGCUAUGACGCCUAACUGGUUUGAGAGGAUGAUCAGUCACACUGGAACUGAGACACGGUCCAGACUCCUACGGGAGGCAGCAGUGGGGAAUAUUGCACAAUGGACGAAAGUCUGAUGCAGCAACGCCGCGUGGAGGAUGACACAUUUCGGUGCGUAAACUCCUUUUAUAUAGGAAGAUAAUGACGGUACUAUAUGAAUAAGCACCGGCUAACUCCGUGCCAGCAGCCGCGGUAAUACGGAGGGUGCAAGCGUUACUCGGAAUCACUGGGCGUAAAGAGCGUGUAGGCGGAUAUAUAAGUCAGAAGUGAAAUCCAAUAGCUUAACUAUUGAACUGCUUUUGAAACUGUAUAUCUAGAAUGUGGGAGAGGUAGAUGGAAUUUCUGGUGUAGGGGUAAAAUCCGUAGAGAUCAGAAGGAAUACCGAUUGCGAAGGCGAUCUACUGGAACAUUAUUGACGCUGAGACGCGAAAGCGUGGGGAGCAAAACAGGAUUAGAUACCCUGGUAGUCCACGCCCUAAACGAUGCACACUAUUUGUUGGUGAGGCUCGACCUUUGCGUAAUGCAGUUAACACAUUAAGUGUGCCGCCUGGGGAAUACGGUCGCCAGAUUAAAACCUCAACGGAUUAAACGGGGAACCC